CAAUUAGGGAUGAGAGCAGUGAAGGGGAACGAUGCUCUACACAAGGAAGCCACUCCAGAGCUACUGGCAGGAACAGCAAGAAAAGUGACAGUGAUGAGAACAUUGCAUGCAACAUCUCUUGCUCUUCCACGGGAUCCAAAAAGAGCAAACGCAGUCACAUUCAUUUGGAUGCACGGUCUGAAAUGUCUGUGUCUUCACUUGGAUCCUCUCCGAAUAAAAAGAAGAAUUCCCUACAUGCAGAUGAUGUGAGAUCGUGCAGCAGAGCAUCCAAUUACUCCAAAAGCUCGUGUGAAACCAAGAAAAAAUCUGUUGGAGACGCCAUGUCUCAAAAGUCAGGAUCUCUUCAGUCAAACAUUUCAUCUACUAGUGCAGCAGAAGCAACUGCAGGUCCUGCUGAGGAGAAAAGCUCUAAAAGUACCGCCAGUCGCUACAGUAAAUCCUCAAAAGGCUCAAAGAAGAGAAGCCAUAGAGAAGACAAUAGUAAACCAUCAUCCCUCUGCUCAAAAUCUUCAAGUCCUAAUGGAAAAGCUGGAGAGGGUCAUGCCAAGGUUAGUUCAGAGCUCUCUUCUUCCAGACAGGGAAGUAUGAGUGGGAGUGUGUGUUCCAAAGCUGACCACGCAACUGAGAAUGAGAUUAGGAAUGGAAAGCCUACAAGUAGCUCCUCAAGAGUCUCUUCAAAAUCAGAAGUAAAAGAUAAAUUCUUGUUGGCACAGGUAUCCCAGGAGACGGAUGAGAGGCGUUCCCAGUCAAACAUGUCUCAAUCUUCAAAGUCAAGGCUGACAAAAAACAACAAUCUUCGGGUGAAGAUGUCAAACUCCAGCCGGGCAUCACUAUCUGAGAGCACAUCGGUGCACAGCCUGCACUGCCCUGCCCCACCCAAAGGGAAGCCAAAGAGGAGAAACAUGCGUCCAGCCAUACUGAAGAAUUCCUCCAUUAGCAGUGUAGGCACCAAGUCGGUGCUGAGCACAGGAAAAGAGCAGAAAGAAAUUGUAGAUUCCUCCAAAGAGACUUCCUAUGGGUCUAGGUCAGCAGCACCCGAAGUAAACGAUCAGAAUAAUAAAGAGACGGAUGAU
Molecule: long non-coding RNA, 1073 nt
Filed under: Manacus vitellinus (golden-collared manakin)
Lineage: Eukaryota; Metazoa; Chordata; Aves; Passeriformes; Pipridae
Description: lncRNA (ENSMVIG00005014072.1)
Source: RNAcentral